CUGCAUAAAUAUCUUCUUUUGAGAAGUGUCUGUUCAUGUCCUUCGCCCACUUUUGUGACUUUAUUUGGAACUCAAGUUUUUGCUGAUGUAGCCAGUUAAGUUAAAACGAUGUCAUACUGGAUUACGGUAAACCCUAAGUCUAAUGACUUGUGUUCUUAUAAGAGAAAACAGAGACACACAGGAGAGCAUGCCAGGUGAGGCAGUGGCCGAUCAGCUGAUGAAACUGAUGCACCUGCCAGCCAAGGCACCCCAAGGAGCUCCAGGGUCACCGGAAGCUGCAAGAAUCCAGGAGGACCCUGCCGUGGAGCCUUCCGAGAGAACACAGCUCUGCUGACACCUUAGUUUCUGACUUUUCCCCUCCAGAACCACGAGAGACUAAAUUUCUGUUCUUUUUAGCCACUCAGCUUGUGAUGAUUUGUUACAGCAUCCCCAGAAAAAUAAUAUAAGAGCCCAAGGAUGGAUGAGGCGGGGGAUGGUACAGAAGGCACACACGCUGUAGAGAGCUGCAGCCCUGGGGGAUUUGGACACCAUUGUGUUAAGCAGGUGCUUACUGAAGUGUUCAGCUCAGACACAGCCCGGCCCUGGCAGCACAGAUGAAUGACCUGGGAGGUGGCUCCCAGCAAGCUCCCAGGCCCAGGACCCCCUUGCUCAGCCCAUGGCCAGAUAGUGGACCUCUCAGUGAUUGGCUGUGCUGCGUGCUGAAUCACCAGCCCCUCUUUCACUUCCCACCGUGAUCUGGGGGCUUCCCGCCCUGAUUUGGGGGCUCCCCACGUAGGCCUUACCUGGUUUGGCUGGGUUUCUGAGGCCUGACUUGUCUUCAGCUCAAAGUGAUGUCUGAUGGUGGAGACCUUGUGCUGCAGCCUGUGGUCCCGGCUGGGCAGGGAGAACUGGCAGGCGUCAGUUUAGGGCCCAAUUUGGCCUAUUCCUUGCUGUAUGGCCUGGGGGCUUCUCUCAGCUGGGGCACUUCUAGAGUAGGGAGAACAACUCCCAGUGUUGAUAGAAGGAAAGCAUGUGCUUACACGUUUACUCUCUCUGGUGCCGGGGAUGUGGUAAGUAAUUGAUCAGCCAAUCAAUAGCAAUCAGUCAAUAAAGGGUCACUUCAGUUAUUCCUGUCUUUAUUUUACUGUUUGAUUGCUAGCCUUGGUUCCCAGAGCAACUGUCUAAUUUUUUUUCCUUUUUUUUGCACAUUGCAUCUUCUAACAUGUCUGCCGGACCUUUAGCCCUGGUUCCAUGAAGAUGGGGAUGAGGAUGGUGACACUGAGAAGUCUCCCUGGCACACAACAGCAUGCUUAGAUGAGCCCAAGCUCAGAGCUUCCAGACCCAGCCUCAGUGUUUUUAACCAUGGACAUCCUCCCAGGCAGACCAGAUGCCCUCUACGCGUAAUAUUCAGCAGGGGCAGGCUGGCAGGCCCGUCGGUGGUGCCCAUGGCAUGGAGGAGCCGCAAUGUGCUUAGACUCUAGGAUGCCAGCAGUGCCAUGGGGUAUGCCAUUGUUCAUUGUCCUGGACUGGCAUCUGUGGAGUCCCUUGGGAUUAAUUUCUUAAGAUGGAAUUAUGUGUACUUAAAUGUUGCUAAUUAUUACCAAACUGUGACCCAAAAAAGUGUCACCAAUCAGCCCUCCCAGAAAUGGCACGGGGAAGUGUCUGCUUUGGUUCAUCAUGUUUCUGAGCUCCCAGCUCUCUGGCCCCCUCUGCAGAGAUCGACCACUAAGGCUGUUUAUUGAGUUUAUUGAGUGUCCUUCUAGACUUUUUAUGUAUGCCACACUCAUAGGCAUGCUUAUUGUGUCUCUCCUAAUUCUCCUCAAUGGUUGUGACAGUUUCUCCAAACUGGGGCCCAGGAUGGGUGGGAUCACCUGUGCGGUGCGGAGCUUGGAGCCAUGGCUGCAGGGAGCUCAGGAAACCAGAGACUGGUCCCCUCUGACCCGCCCGGUGGGACCCCUGCUUUCCUAUGGGGACACAGCAGCAGCAUCAGUGAGCAAACUGAAAAGAAAAGACUUUUCCUUUGUGCAGCCAUUAGCAGAGGAAAACAAAUGCCAAAUGUAGGUGUGUUUUGGCGUUGGUAGGGGGAUAAAAGAAAUGCAUGUAUGCACCGGCUGGUGAAAUGGGAUUUACAAACACAGUCACGACUUAGUGACAGGAAUACAUUAGGAAAAACCCGUCGUUAGGUGAUUUUGUUGUUGUGCAAACAUCGUAGCAUGUACUUACACACACCUAGAUGGUGCAGCCUGCCACACACCUAGGCUCUAUGGGAGAGCCUGUUGCUCCCAGGCUGUAAACUCACGCAGCAGGUGACUGUGCCGAAUGCUGGAAGCAAUUGCAACACAAUGGUGAGUAUUUGUGUAUCGCAACAUAGAAAAGGUGUAGUAAAAAUACUGUACAAAAGACAAAACAUGAUGGCUUCCAGCUUCAUCCAUGUCCCUGCAAAGGACAUGAUCUUGUUCUUUUUUAUGGCUGCAUAGUAUU
RNAcentral lists this long non-coding RNA (2460 nucleotides) under Homo sapiens (human). RNAcentral describes it as "HSALNT0324917". The record is from RNAcentral. Lineage: Eukaryota; Metazoa; Chordata; Mammalia; Primates; Hominidae.